AUGAGGAACUGGACCAAGGAGGAGUUCGUGCACAUCCUCCGCCGCCAGAGCACGGGGUUCGCCAGGGGGAGCUCCAAGUACCGCGGCGUCACGCUCCACAAGUGCGGCCGCUGGGAGGCAAGGAUGGGCCAGCUGCUCGGCAAGAAGUACAUAUAUCUUGGCCUCUUUGACAGCGAAGUUGAAGCUGCAAGGGCGUACGACAGGGCGGCGAUUCGCUUCAAUGGGAGGGAAGCUGUGACUAACUUUGAGAGCAGCUCCUACAAUGGGGAUGCUCCACCCGACGCCGAAAAUGAGGCAAUUGUUGAUGCUGAUGCUCUUGACUUGGAUCUUCGGAUGUCGCAACCUACCGCGCACGAUCCCAAGCGGGACAACAUCGUCGCCGGCCUUCAGUUAACUUUUGAUUCCCCUGAAUCGUCAACCACAAUGCUCUCUUCUCAGCCAAUGAGCUCAUCUUCUUCCCAGUGGCCUGUGCAUCAACAUGGCACGGCAGUACCACCUCAGCAGCACCAGCGUUUGUACCCAUCUGCUUGUCAUGGCUUCUACCCGAACGUACAGGUGCAGGUGCAGGAGAGGCCGAUGGAGGCAAGGCCCCCUGAGCCGCCGUCGUGCUUCCCCGGCUGGGGGUGGCAAGCGCAAGCCACGCCGCCGGGCUCCUCCCACUCGCCGUUGCUUUACGCUGCAGCAUCAUCAGGAUUCUCUACCGCCGCCGGCGCGCACCCCGCCCCGCCGCCGCCGUCGUACCCGGAUCACCACCGGUUCUACUUCCCCCGCCCGCCGGACAACUAG
Molecule: ribosomal RNA, 786 nt
Filed under: Triticum aestivum (bread wheat)
Lineage: Eukaryota; Viridiplantae; Streptophyta; Magnoliopsida; Poales; Poaceae
Description: partial small subunit ribosomal RNA
Source: RNAcentral